This 472-nucleotide ribosomal RNA is filed under the name uncultured bacterium. RNAcentral's name for it is "bacterial SSU rRNA". It matches the Rfam family "Bacterial small subunit ribosomal RNA", at positions 355 to 825 of the family's 1533-position model. The record is from RNAcentral.
UGGGGAAUAUUGGACAAUGGGCGAAAGCCUGAUCCAGCCAUGCCGCGUGUGUGAAGAAGGUCUUCGGAUUGUAAAGCACUUUAAGUUGGGAGGAAGGGCAGUUACCUAAUACGUGAUUGUUUUGACGUUACCGACAGAAUAAGCACCGGCUAACUCUGUGCUAGCAGCCGCGGUAAUACAGAGGGUGCAAGCGUUAAUCGGAAUUACUGGGCGUAAAGCGCGCGUAGGUGGUUAGUUAAGUUGGAUGUGAAAUCCCCGGGCUCAACCUGGGAACUGCAUUCAAAACUGACUGACUAGAGUAUGGUAGAGGGUGGUGGAAUUUCCUGUGUAGCGGUGAAAUGCGUAGAUAUAGGAAGGAACACCAGUGGCGAAGGCGACCACCUGGACUGAUACUGACACUGAGGUGCGAAAGCGUGGGGAGCAAACAGGAUUAGAUACCCCUGUAGUCCCUGAGCGGGCUGGCAAGGCGCAU